CGGACGGGUGAGUAACACGUGGAUAACCUACCUAUAAGACUGGGAUAACUUCGGGAAACCGGAGCUAAUACCGGAUAAUAUUUUGAACCGCAUGGUUCAAAAGUGAAAGACGGUCUUGCUGUCACUUAUAGAUGGAUCCGCGCUGCAUUAGCUAGUUGGUAAGGUAACGGCUUACCAAGGCAACGAUGCAUAGCCGACCUGAGAGGGUGAUCGGCCACACUGGAACUGAGACACGGUCCAGACUCCUACGGGAGGCAGGAGCC
This 263-nucleotide ribosomal RNA is filed under the name uncultured Staphylococcus sp. RNAcentral describes it as "partial 16S ribosomal RNA". It matches the Rfam family "Bacterial small subunit ribosomal RNA", at positions 99 to 355 of the family's 1533-position model. Lineage: Bacteria; Bacillati; Bacillota; Bacilli; Caryophanales; Staphylococcaceae. The record is from RNAcentral.